This 122-nucleotide non-coding RNA is filed under the name unclassified sequences. The record is from Rfam.
UAUAGGUACAGACAAUGCUGUACUGUAUACACCUGUAAGUUGAUACUCUGUAUUAAGCGUACUGUAAGUACGCCGACCAGGUGGAAGAGGCAACCAUCCGUGGUUGCCUCUUUUUUUGACCC